UACAACCCAAAAUCAAACCAAAUUAACCCCAAUGUUUCAAGACCCAAAUUACAAAUCCAUUUACAAAAUGACAUAGCCCAAUACCCCAAACGGCCCAGAAACUGAGCCCCAUUUUGGCAAACCCUAGGGCAAGGGUCUCCUUGUGCCGCAGCCCUCACUAGCAGCCAAACCACAUUGCGCCAGACAACGCCUCCAACAGCACCAGCGCACAGCCCUCGUACGCCACGCCCGUACCUCCGUACGAUGCCAGCAGACUCCGUACCUGCGAAAAAGACACACAGAACAGCAGCGAAUAGGGAAGAAGAAAAUAGCAUUUUCAUUUUUUGAUUUUUCUUUCUUUUCGGCUAUAAAGGCCAUGUAAUAGCCUAGGUGAGUUUUUUACGCAACAUAAACGCACAAUAGGCCAUACAGACACAAUCAAUACAUUUUGAAAUACAAAAAAGCAACGAGCAUUCGAAGGUGAUUCCGAUUCAUAAUUUCUGAGAUUUUUUCCUUUUCUUCUUGGCUUAGUUUCAUUCUCCCUGGAAUUUCUUUUUGUUCUUUCGCAUUUUGGGUUGUAUAAAAGAGAGAGGAAAUGAAAUCUUACCCCGUGAAUACGCCGUGAGAUAUCCUCUGAUUCGUUGAAAUCGGGGUCCGAGAGGAGUAUAAGGCGGAAAGAAAACCAUCUUGAGGCUCGAACAGGCCGAUCUCCAUUCAUUGCGGUGGAUUGGCAUGGCAGAUGGAGGGUCAAGGUUCGUUUGAGGGGAGUAAAAAUGGAGGCUAGGGUUUGGAGGUGCUGGCUUAAUCUGCUGAUUGAGCCAUUUUAUAGGACCUCAAACUGUGUCGCAUUGACAUCAAAGCCCGACCCGAUUCGAUUCCAAACCCGAUGACCCGCGUGUUUUUGCGGUGAGGGACUAUUUGCACAUUAAAUCCCUCCCUUUUGCGCCACGUUUAAAUCAAUCCAUAUUUUUAUUCCAUUUCUUUUAAUUUAGGCUUGUAUUUUGAGCUCAUUUGCAAUGGGGUCCGCACAUGUACACAGCGUUUUGGGAGUCUGGAAUAAUUUCAGUUUUGAUCCUUGCAUAUUCGUAUACAUUAUGCGCUGGCCCUUAUCUGUAUUUACAAAUUAUCCUUCCAUUUUAACGUGGUUUCAAUUAGACCCUCUCUUUUAUGUGAUUUCAAUUAUUUUUUUUAGAUUCACCUCAUGUUUUAUUUUAUUUUACUUGUGUUCAUUUACUCGUGUUCAUCGUCUAACUUGCAUCAUUUACUUAUUGUAAUUUGGGUAACUAUGCUUUCAUAUUUUGCGUAUUACCUCAUGUAAUUGUUUUCUUUAUAUACGCUAUUGUACAUAUAUAUUUGUACUUUACAUUAAAGUCAAUUUCAUUUCAUAUAUAUAUACAUUGUUAACCUUAUGUUAUUUUAUACAUGUGUUGUCUUAAAUUUAUUAUUGUAGUUUAUUACAUGGUCCUAUAUAAUAUAUUUUCUCAAUUAUUAUUAUAUACAUAUAUGUUUAUAGAUAUCUAUACUUGAUAUCUAUAUAUAUAUUAUUAAAUCUAUGUAUUUUAUGCAUGUAGUUUUUCUCUUUUUUCAUAUAUGUAAGUAUAUUCUUCAAUUCAUUAUAUAAUUUAUAAUAAAAUCAGUUUUAGCUUGCAUAUAUUUCUAUGUUUUUUACAAAUAAUUAUUUUUUAAAAAAAGGGGGGUUAUUUAUAUAUAUAUAAUUUGUAGAUCCAUUGCAUUUUUGAAGAUUAUAUCGUACUAUAUAUUUUUAUUAUUACCGUUUUUAAUAUAUUUUACACAUACUUUAAAUUAUUAUUCUAUACAUCCUCGUUUUUUUUUUAAAAAUCAAUAUUAUUCUACGUUUUGGUAUGAUUUUCGAUUUAAACAUUCAUUUUAUAAUAUUUUUUAAAAUGAUUAAGCGUAUAUCCCUAGUUUUUCCUUUUUUACAAAUAAAUUUUAAAUGCACCAAUUCAUUAAUUUGCAUGUCAUAAAGAUUUUUGGUUCAUUAGAUCGCAUUUGUUCCGACAUCGUCUUAUACCACUUUGACUUCUAAAUUCUAUUUUGUUUUGCAUACGCUCUUUUGGUUGCUUUAUAUAUGUACAUUCCUUGCGUGGCAUCCACCUUAUUGAACUGUUAAUUACUCAUCAUAUAUGAUUGAAAUUAGGCUAUAAUUCCUAGAUUAAUUAUAUUUAAUUGCUUGUUCUGCUAGUUGAUUCAUUAAGUAUUGUAUCUCGUAUGUGUAUAUUACCUCAUUCAUCGUUUUCCAUUUGAUUUUCGAAAUGCGGUUUUAUAAAAUCCAAAUUUUAUGAUUAAUCUCGUACUAUUUCAAAUUGAAUUAAUACGUCUUAAGCUAGCUCUAUAAUCAUUCAUUCAAAAAUUCUUUAAAAACGAAGGCAAGAUUCGAUGUUUGGCAAUUCGUGGAAUCGUGCCCUAACGUGUUGGGUUGCGAUUUCGCGUUUGCUCAAAAUAAUCGAAUAUCACUUCGAAAUUUCACUCACGCCUUUUAAAAUUCCUCAAAACGAAGACGAGGUUUGAUAUUUAGCAAUUCGCAGAAUCGUGCCCUAACGUGUUGGGUUGCAAUUUUGCGUUUGUUCAAAAUAAUCGGGCUUCCCUUCAAAAUUCCAUUCAUAUCUCCUAAAAUUUUUUAAAUGAAGGCAAUGUUCGACGUUUGAUAAUUUGAGAAUCAUGCUCUAUCGCGUUGGGUUGUGGUUCCUGGUUUGCUCAAAAUGAUCGAACAUUCCUUUACAUUCUCACUCAUGUUUAUAAAAAAAAUACUUAAAAACGAAAACGAUGUUCAAUGUUUGGCGAUUUGAGAAUCGUGCCCUAUCGUGCUGGGUUGCGCUUUUUCAUUGGUCUGAAACAAUUGAAGAUCCCUUCAGAAUUUCCCUCGCACUUUCUAAAAUCUUUUAAAAUAAAGGCGAUGUUCGAUGUUUGGCGAUUUGAGAAUCGAGCCCUAUCAUGCUGGGUUGCGCUUUCUCAUUUGCCCAAAAUAAUCGAAUAUCUCCUCGAAAUUUUCACACGUAUUUUAUAAAGUAAGGCAAUGGUCAAUAUUUAGAAAUUCGAAGAAUCGUACCCUACUGUGCUGGGUUUCGAUUUUUCGUUGGACUAAAUAGUUGAGCAUCAUUCUGUAAUUCUCAAAUUAUAUACCUUCGGGCAUCGAAACAAGAAAUUUUGGCAACCAAGUCGGAUCACUCAAACGUUAUAAAAGGAACCACAUUUCAAAAAACUUUUAAUUUUAGACAUAAGGACAGUAUUUAAUUGACUUGGUACCAAUUUUGGGCGUAGUGAGGGUGCUAAUCCUUCCUCAUGCGUAACCGACUCCCGAACCUGUUUUCUCAAAAGUUCGUAGACCAAAAUUAUUGUUUUAAUAAACCAAAAAUGUUUAUUUAAACUAACCUCAUUUUUAGGUGAUUCGAUCACACCAAAAUAAAAGAUCGGUGGCGACUCCAUAUUUUCAUUUUCCAAAAAGUCGAUUCCACCAUUUUUCAUUAAAAUAAUUUUUUUUUAAAAUCGUGGGAUGGUUUCGACAGCUUGGCGACUCCGGUGGGGAUUUGAACUUGAGAGUCGAGCCAUAAAAAUCGAUUAUUUACUGUCCUUUUGUUAAAAAACCGAAAAUUUAUUUUAAAAAUCAUGUAUAUUUCGAUUGCAUUUGAUUGUAUGUUUGUGCGGGCCUUGUAGAAUAGCACUGCAUUUCAUUGCAUGACCACUGUGGUUACACCUUCUAAGUGGAAGUAAGAAGCUACGCUUUCGUGAGGUUUUCACCUCCGCAUGGGCUAGUGGAUUGCUUCCGGGGUACAUCCGUACCUAUGAUUUCGUGAGAUUUUCAUCUCUGCAUGGUCAUAGGGAAAUGUAUCCCCUCGAACCGAACUCGAUCUAUAUGAGCUUAUAAUGGGUGAGGAUUGAGGAAUCUGCUGGUUCGGGUACCCAUUUUCCUAGAACUAAACCACAUAUAGUGAACCUUAGGAGCUAUCCUUGGGUGGAGCCGCGUCGAACCUUAGUACUUACCCGUACAUGCGUUAUAAUCACCGUUUAUGUGCUUGCAUUCUAUUGCUAUUAUUUGAUACUAACCGAUGUUUUGUUUUGAUUGUCUUUUUUGCAUGACAUUGCAUAUUAAAGGAGGCGUUAAUCUACAUUCAAUUACUAAGUUAGAAAAUUUGACAUGGAGAAUGAAUUUUUUAGUAAAGUCGAGGAUAAUGCGGCCGUUCGUGCUUGGUCGGAGAGGCUACAAUCUGAGAGAGGGGAUAGCUUGGCAGAAGGGUAUGUGUCGGAGCUGUAGGAUUUCACUCGCGUCAAUGUAGUACAGAAUAAGCUGCAAUAGUUGAGAGACAUUUGGGUUAGUUGGGAUGAAAGGAUCAAGCAGUUGUUUUACCAAAGUUAUGGUGACAUAUCCUACCUGCUAGACAUUAAAGUGGAUAAGCAUUUGUUCCGAGCCUUGGUGCAGUUUUGGAAUUCCGCAUAUAAGUGUUUUACCUUUGGAGAAGUGGAUUUGGUACCUACCAUGGAGGAAUAUACUACGCUGCUUAGAUGUCCAAAGAUUCAGGUCUGGAAGACUUAUGCCCGGGUUUUUAGUAAUCAGGCUUUCGUGAAGAAACUGAUGAGCAUUUCUGGGAUGAGCGAGUCUUGGGUCACUGCUCGGAUUCAGCAGAAAGGAGAUAGCAAAUGUGUCCCUUGGGAGAAUUUGCGAGAUUUGAUCUUGACUCAUCUAGACGAAAGAAAGAGGGUCGAUAUAUUUGCCUUAAGCAUCUACGGAUUAGUGAUCUUUCCUACGGCUUUGAGGCACGUGGACGAGGCGGUCAUUGACUUGUUUGAUCGUCUUGAAAAGGGAAUCACACCGGUACCGGCAAUAUUGGCAGAAACGUUCAGAUCUUUGAGCUUAUGUCAGAAGACGGGUGAGGGGCGAUUUAUUGGAUGUGCUCAACUAUUGAUGGUAUGGUUUCAUGGGAACUUUUGGAAGGUAGACAAGGUUUCCUAUCGAGUCUUUUCCAAAGGUUAUUCCCCUUUGAAAGAAGAGGUAGCUAUACAGAGGAGAAAGGAUAUCUCAGAAGAGAAGUGGAUGGAUAUUUUUCAGAACCUUAAGGAGGAGGAUAUCGAGUGGAGUGCUUAUUGGAUGGUUCCUGAUGAGAUCAUGUACCAAUGUGGUAACUUUGAUUGGGUGCCAUUGUUAGGAAUUUGGGGAGCUACCGGGUAUACUCCGUUGAUAGCCUUGAGGCAAUACAAGUCGAGGCAGUUUGUACCCACGACCUAUGGACUUGCUCAGAGUGAAUUCUCGUUUAAAGGUGCUCACUAUUAAAAGAGAGUUCGGGAGUUAUCGGAUGCUUGGAAGCAAACUUGUUAGAUGAAGAGGUUAGCCGUCGGUUCUAUGGUAACGCCCGAGUACAGCAAGUGGUUUAAGAAGAGGAUUAAUGAUAAUAUUCCUAGGCCAAGCUUAGAGAAUGCUCGGCCUAUCGGGGAACAAUUACAAGUCGCCCCAUCAGAAUUGGAGAUUAUAAAACAAGAUUUCGAGAAGAAGAGUUUGGAGUUUGGUAAGAAGAUCGAACAAUUAGAGGAAGAGAAGAUGCACCUAAGAUUAGAGGCUGAUGUCCAAAGGUCAGAGGCUGAGAAGUGGAGAAAAGGAAAAACUAAGGCUGAAGAAGAUCUAGACAGUUUGAAAAUGGACUACAAAAAGUUACGCCUAUCUAUGAGGAUUGCGGGUUUAGGUAAGACUUCCGAACAAUGGCGCCAUGAAAUUCGGGAAGAAAAAACCAAUACCGACCGGUGGGAAAGGAAAUUUCGAGAAACUCAAGCACGAAACGAAGAUUUGGAGAAAAGUCUAUCAGAAAGCAGAAAUGAGCAAGGGGAAUUAAGGGCUAGAGUGGCAGAACUCGAGAAGUCCCUACAUCAGUACCGAAACCGCAACACCGUGACAGAAUUGAGGGCAAGCUUGAGCAAAAUACAAGAAAUGAAAGGAAGAAUAGAAGAGUUAGAGGCGUCACUGCAAAAUUGUGAUAUGCGAAUCCAGUUUUUUGAGGCAAACGAGGAUCGUUGGAAGGAGCAACUUCACCAUGCGCAAGGCCAAGUUAGAAAUAGGGAUUACCUUAUGGGAGAGGCCAUAACCCAGAUCCGGGAGGUAGCGGACUACUUGCAAACUCUAGCGGUUCAGGCAGACACACUAAGCGUGAAAUAUGAGUUAGAGUCGGAGCGCGAACAAGAGCUGGCCUCAUUGCUUAGAAAAAUUAGGACUUUGAGCGUUAGAGCAAAAUUAUAUUUGUAACUCGACUUUAUGUAAAAGAUUUUAUUUUCAAGUAAAAUUUUCUAAGGGCUGUUGAAUCAAAAUUGAUGCCUCCUUUACAUUCAUGCAUUUGCAUUACAUCAUAUCAUUAUGCAUUAAAGGCCAUUAGAGUUUUCUAAUUAAUUAACUAAAAAUUAUUUCAAUAACCUGGAAACCAAUGAAAACCAACCACGCACCCCUACAGUACAAGGAAAAAAUCAAUGGAUAAGAGACUCGAGAAAUUAGAGCGGAUGCAAAAAGACAUGCAAGAACAAAUACAGUCUCAGAUGCAAGAGCAGCUAGCCAAGAUUCAGUGAGAGAUGAAAGAGCAAAUGAUGGAGUCCCAGAGGGAAAUGAUGAGUCAGUUAUCCCAAUUGUUGUUGGGAGGAACGGAUAAGGGAAAGGGCCCCAUGGACAAAGUUGAAGAAGCUAAUGAGGAUCCUCAAUACCCCCUGGCUUCACUCUGACACAUGUACCGGUGAAGCUCGAGAUUAAUCUACCGAAGCCAUCUGUCACGAUCAUACCCCAGCAGGUUCAGGCUGGAGCUUCAAUACUGAUGAAUUUCCAAACCGGCUUAGGCUCCAACUUUGUCAACAACCCGAACUAUCCGCCCAUUCCCGAUUUGGAUGAAAUUGCUGAAGAAGAAAAGGCGAGGAUGGAUUCGCAAAAACAAUUGGAAAAACGGUGUAGAUGGCUCGAAGAGAAAUUUAAAGCCAUGGAAAGCGCGGAUCAUCAUCAAGGGAUUAAUGCCAAGGACCUAAGUUUAGUCCCAGAUUUAGUCCUUCCCCCCAAAUUCAAAAUGCCCAAGUUCGAGAAAUACAAUGGAACAAGUUGCCCUGAAGCUCAUAUCAUUAUGUUCUGCAGGCGAAUGACGGGAUAUGUUAACAAUGACCAGCUAUUAAUCCACUACUUUCAAGAUAGUUUGGUCGGGGCGGCGUCUAAGUAGUACAACCAAUUAAGCCGCUCUAAGAUUAACUUGUGGAAGGACCUGGCCCAAGCCUUUAUGAAGCAAUACAAUCACGUGACAGACAUGACCCCUGACAGAAUCACUCUCCAGAAUAUGGAGAAGAAAUCGAAUGAAAGCUUCAGGCAGUACGUAUAAAGAUGGAGGGAGGUGGCCAUACAAGUUCAGCCGCCACUUCUAGAAAAGGAGAUAACGAUACUCUUUAUAAAUACCUUGAAGGCCCCUUUUAUCACUCAUAUGUUGGGAAGCGCCACCAAGAGCUUCUCCGACAUAGUGAUGAUGGGAGAAAUGAUCGAAAAUGCUGUAAAGAGCGGCAAGAUAGAAUCGAGAGAGAGUGCUAGGAAGUUAGCCCCGAGGAGAAAAGACAAUGAAGUGAACAACACGAGCACAUUCAACAAGGGGCAGCCCAAGUCAAUUACCGUAAAUCAACCCAAAAUGGUGACUACCAAUCAACAAAGUUCUGUAAGGCAAGAAUCCAAUGCGAGGAAGAACAUAGAAAGGCCACAAUACACCCCUAUACCCAUGUCCUAUAGAGAGUUGUACCAGAACCUGUUCAACGCUCAUGUGGUAUCCCCUUUCUACCUGGAGCCACUGCAGUCCCCGUAUUCCAAAUAGUAUGACGCGAAUGCCCAAUGUGAGUACCACGCGGGAAUCACCGGGCACUCAAUCGAAAAUUGCACUGCGUUUAAGAAAGUGGUCGAAAGACUCAUUAAGGUGGGAAUCAUGAGAUUUGAUGACCCAGCCACGCCCAAUUUAGCAGGAAACCCACUCCCUAAUCAUACCGACCAAGGAGUGAAUGGGAUAAGUGAAGGCUUGAACAAGAAGACCAAGUAUGAGGUGGCAGAAAUCAGGACCUCGUUGAAGCGGGUAUGGAAAGAGAUGACUAAGAGAGGAUUGAUAGCAUUGGAUCCAAGGGAAGAACCCGAAGAAGAGAGAAACUACUGUGAGUUUCAUGACGAGGUGGGGCAUGAAAUCCAAGAAUGUGUGGAAUUCAUGGCCCUCGUGCAGAACAUGAUAGAUAACAAAGAAAUGGAAUUCUAUGAAGAAGCUAAAAGCCUCAUAGAGGGAAAUGUAUGCGCAUCCGAGGGAGAAUCAAAGGCGUAGAAUCAAAUGCCUAAUUAUCCCGUGGUGAUCAUUUCGAGACCCAAAAAUAAUGAAGCUGGAGUAAAAAUGCCAUCGAGGGUCAUAAUCCAAAGACCUGCAGUCUUCCCUUACAAAAACAGUAAAAAGGUCCCAUGAAAUUAUGAUUGCAGUGUGACGAUGCCGGGAAAAGAGAGCCCGGUUAGCGCUUCAAUAAGGGAUCAAGAUAGAGGUUCCUAUACACAUAGCGGGAGGCGUUACGAUACAAUGAAUGAGGAGGAACAGCCCACAAAAGAAAAAGCCCAGGUGGUCAAGGAAAUGAAGGAAAAAGCAACCAAACUUGUUAAUGAGCCAGUUAACGAAGACGAGGCCAAGGAAUUUUUAAAAUUCCUAAAGCACAGCGAAUACAGUGUGGUAGAACAGCUACGUAAACAACCAGCUCGCAUUUCAGUGCUGGCCUUGCUUCUAAGCUCGGAAGUUCAUCGUAGCGCACUAAUGAAGGUCUUAAACGAGACAUAUGUUGCCAAUGAUAUCUCCGUUAACAAGCUGGACCGGUUGGUGAGCAACAUAAGUGCCGACAAUUUUAUCUUCUUUAAUGACGACGAGAUACCACCUGGGGGCAUGGGGUCGACUAAAGCUCUGCAUAUCACCACACGCUGUAAAGGGUACACGCUACUAGGUGUACUGAUUGACAAUGGAUCAGCUUUGAACGUCCUGCCAUUGACCACGCUGAACAGAUUACCUAUAGACAGCUCUCACAUGAAGGAGUGCCAGAACAUCGUGAAGGCAUUCGAUGGCACGGAAAGAAAGGUGAUGGGCAGAAUCGAGGUACCUCUCUAGAUUAGGCCAAACACAUAUGAGGUGGAUUUUCUCGUGAUGGAUAUCAAGCCCUCAUACAAUUGCUUGUUGGGGAGGCUCUGGAUACAUUUAGCUGGGGCAGUACCUUCCCCGUUGCAUCAAAAAUUGAAGCUGGUGUCGGAGGGGAGGUUGAUAACGAUUAAGGCUGAAGAAGAUAUUAUUGCAACUGUGAGCAAUAAUGCACCCUAUUUGGAGACAUAUGACGAAGCAAUCGAAUGCUCAUUUCGAUCUUUGGAAUUUGUUAACGCGACGUUCAUCACCGAGGGAAGCAAAAUUUUGGUGCCGAAAUUGUCCAAAACCACGAGGAUGAGCCUCGAGUUGACGAUUGGAAAAGGGGCCCUACCCGGAAAGGGACUUGGGAGACAUCUACAAGGAAGGAUCGAAACGCCAAUGCUGAAAGAAAAGAGAGACCGCUUCGGCUUAGGAUUUAAGCCGGAUGUGAAACAAAGGAGAAGGGAGCCAGAAAAGAAGCAAGAAAGAAGGAGAGCUCGAUUAAUGGGGGAGCAAAUCAAGUGGGAACCAAUGACAUUCCCCCAUAUAUUGAAAACAUUUGUAUCCAGGGGAAUCAUUCAUCCUGAGAGAGACACGCCAAUGAUGGGAGCUAUAAAAGAAAGUCUGGAAAGUUUGGACAUCAACGUCAUGUACGAAAAGGAGACUGGAAGGGAAAAUUUGUCGGGCAUUUGCCCCUACACGCCUGGAAGUGUUCUGGACAACUAGAUUGCGGAAGAGAUCCUUGUAGUUUUUAGAACGGAUUCAGAGUAAUGUCCAAAACACACUUAUUGCUCUAGGCCUAGGAGUGAUAAGAAUCUUUUGUGAAAUAGGCUGAUGUUUAAAAACGAUAUUUCAAUAAAAUGCACAGUUAUUAUCAUUUUUGAGCAAAUGUUCUCUCGUCCUCUUAAUUUCAUUCAUAACCAUACAAAUGAUUACUUUCGGAUUCUUUUAUUCUUGAAACAUUCUUCUAAGUAUUCUUUCAUUCGUCAUUCAUAAUCAUAUCACGCAAAUAAAUGUUUCGAAUUCUUUUGAUUCUUUGUAUCUGCCUUCGUCCUUAUAACAGGUUCCCAAAUAUUAAUGAUACGAGUGACACUGCUAGCGACUCAGAAUUUCCUUUCGAGCAAGAUGUAUGUAUGGAUGAUUCUUAGGAUUUUGAAGAUGACCAAGGCUGUAACCUAUCUCUUGAUUUGUUGAAGAUGGAGGAACAAGACGAGAAAUAAAUCCUACCUCACAAAGAAUUAAUCGAAAUUGUGAGCUUAGGAGAAGGACAAGAGGUAAAGAUCGGAAUAAGUAUCACUGCGAAAAUGAAGCGAGACCUCAUUGAAUUACUUUAAGAAUUCAAAGGUGUCUUCGCAUGGUCAUACCAAGAUAUGCCCGGGUUGGACACUGACAUCGUGGUGCAUCGACUUCCCAUAAAAGAAUAGUGUAAGCCAGUUUAGCAAAAACUCCGAAGAAUGAGGCCCGAUGUCUUGCUAAAAAUAAAGGAAGAGGUUCGAAAGCAGUUUGACGUUGGAUUUCUGAAGGUGGUAAAAUACUCAGAUUGGGUAGCCAACAUCAUCCCUGUCCCUAAGAAAGAUGGAAAAGUGCUAAUGUGUGUAGACUACAGAGAUUUGAAUAAAGCCAGCCCAAAAGACAAUUUCCCACUGCCUCAUAUCGACACCCUAGUGGACAACAUGGCGGGACAUUCACUGUUUUCAUUCAUGGAUGAUUUUUUGGGAUACAACCAGAUCAAGAUGCAUCCUGAAGAUAUGAAGAAGACCAUAUUUGUAACCAUGUAGGGCACGUUCUGUUACAAGGUGAUGCCGUUUGGAUUGAAGAAUGCGGGGACAACUUAUCAAAGAGCUAUGGUAACCUUUUUUCACGACAUGAUGCAUAAAGAAAUCGAGGUUUAUGUCGAUGACAUGAUCGUAAAGUCUCGAACAGAGAAGGAGCACAUACAAGUCUUGAGGAAAUUGUUCUUGAGGUUGAGGAAGUUCCAGCUAAAACUCAACCCAGCCAAAUGUACCUUCGGAGCUAAAUCCGGAAAGUUGCUCGGAUUCGUGGUUAGUGAGAAAGGGAUUGAGAUCGAUCUAGACAAAGUUAAAGCCAUACAAGAGUUAUCCUCGCCGCGCACUAAAAAAGAAGUUCGAGGCUUUCUAGGAAGAUUAAAUUACAUUGCUCGGUUCAUUUCACAACUGACCGAGAAAUGUGGCCCUGUCUUUCGCCUCCUCAAGAAACAUAACCCAGGUGAAUGGGAUGAAGAAUGCCAAAGGGCUUUCGACAAGGUUAAACAGUACUUAUCCAACGCCCCGGUGCUGAUGCCACCUAACCCCGAUAAGCCGUUGAUACUGUAUUUGGCAGUAUUCGAGAACUCUAUGAGAUGCAUGCUGGCUCAGCAUGAUGAGUCAGGAAGGAAAGAAAAAGCUAUUUACUAUCUCAGUAAAAAGUUUACGGAAUGUGAGACAAUGUACCCGUCGAUAGAGAAGUUGUGUUGUGCCCUAAUAUGGACAACCCGCAGGCUGAGGCAAUAUAUGUUGUAUCACACCACUUGGCUCAUAUCAAAGUUGGACCCUUUAAAGUACAUGAUGGAGUCAACAACCUUAAAUGGAAGGAUGGCCCGAUGACAGAUUCUGCUUUCUAAAUUCAACAUAGUCUAUGUGAACCAAAAAGUAAUAAAAGGAAGUGCGAUAGCAGAUUUUCUAGCCAGUAGAGCUUUGGAAGACUACGAGCCUUUGAACUUCGACUUUCCGAAUGAAGACCUAAUGUGUAUUGCUACGACUGAAGAAGGUGCUCUGGAAGAACUUCUUUGGAAACUGAACUUCGAUGGGGCAUCAAAUGCUGUGGGCAAUGGAAUCGGGGCCGUCUUGGUAUCCCCAAAACGAGAUCAUUACCCAUUCACUAGUAAAUUGGAUUUUGAUUGUACAAAAAAUAUGGUGGAAUAUGAAGCGUGCAUCAUGGGUAUCCGUGCAGCCAUAGAACGUAAGAUUAAAGUGCGAGAGGUGUAUGGAGAUUCUGCGCUAGUGAUUUAUCAACUCAAGGGAGAAUGGGAGACUAGAGACCUCAAGUUAAUCGAUUAUCGGAAGCUGGUCCUUGAGUUGAUUAAAGAGUUUGAUGACAUUACCUUCCACUACCUUCCACGAGACAAAAAUCAGAUGGCUGACGCUUUGGCUACCUUAGCCUCCAUGAUCAAGGUGAACAAACAAGAAGAUGUCAAACCCAUCCGAAUGAACAUUUAUGAAAUUCCGGCCCAUUCUUACAAUAUUGAAAAAGAUGAAGAGAAAGAUGAUCACCCUUGGUAUCACGAUAUAUUGCAAUAUGUGAAGAAUCGUGAGUACCCGGACCAGGCAAGCGAGAAUGAAAAAAGAACGCUAAGAAGAUUGGCCAUCGACUACGUCUUAGAUGGGGAUAUAUUAUACAAAAGAAGAAAGGAUCAAGUGCUACUAAGAUGUGUAGACGCUGUAGAGGCUAGGAAAAUCUUGGAAGAAGUCCAUGAAGGCGUCUGUGGGACACAUGCUAAUGGCUUUACAAUGGCCAGGCAAAUUAUGAGAUUCGGGUACUAUUGGUCCACCAUGGAAGGAGACUGUGUCAAUUACGCUAAGAGAUGUCAUAAGUGUCAAAUCUACGGAGACAAAAUUCUUGUGCCUCCUUCACCGUUGCAUGUCAUGGUUUCUUCAUGGCCAUUCUCUAUGUGGGGCAUGGAUGUGAUUAGACCAAUAUCGCCGAAAGCUACCAAUGGGCAUCGAUUCAUCUUCGUGGUUAUCGACUACUUCACCAAGUGGGUAGAAACUGCUUCGUAUGCUAGUGUGACCAAGUCGGCAGUGAGCAAGUUUCUGAAAAAGGAUAUUAUAUGUCGAUAUGGAAUGCCGGAGAGGAUUAUAUCCGACAAUGCAUUAAACUUGAACAAUAGUACGAUAGCAGAAGUCUGCAGUCAAUUCAAGAACAGACAUCACAACUCGUCACCAUAUCGCCCAAAGAUGAAUGGGGCAGUGGAAGCGGCCAAUACAAACAUUAAGAAAAUUGUGGGGAAGAUGACCAAAACCUACAGAGACUGGCAUGAGAAGUUACCAUUUGCCCUCUUCGCUUAUCGAACGUCAGUCAAAACCUCAACUGGGGCAGCCCCUUUUUCUUUGGUCUACGGAAUGGAAGCGGUGUUGCCGAUCGAGGUCGAGAUCCCGUCCCUUCGAGUGUUGUUGGAGUUAAAUUUGGAAGAAGCCGAGUGGAUCCAAUCUCGAUAUGAUCAAUUGAACCUAACGAGGAAAAAAGGUUAAAAGCUAUUCGUCAUGGUCAGAUGUACCAAAAAUGAAUGAUGCAGGCUUAUGAUAAAAAGGUUCGUCCUAGAGAAUUCCACGAGGGAGACCUGGUUUUGAAAAAGAUUCUUCCCAUACAGAAAUAUUUUCGGGGAAAAUGGAUGCCUAAUUGGGAAGGGCCUUACGUAGUGAAGAAAGCUUUCACUGGAGUAGCAUUGAUUCUAGCCGAGAUGGACGAUAGAAACUUGCCCAAUCCUGUAAACUCGGACUCGGUCAAGAAGUAUUUUACCUGAAGAAAGAGAGGCCUGAGUGAAAACCCACAAAGGGUGCUCUGAAAUCCAAAAAAAAACCCGGAGAGGCCAAGGUGAAAACCCACAAAGGGUAUUUUGGAACCAAAGGGGCUUUUGAGUUGAAAACCCAAAAACGGGCAGCUCAAAUUUUGAAUAUGGGGCAUAUGGCGGUCUUGUCCUUCCAAAAUCAACAAGACAGAAGAACAUUACACCUUGGAGCAUCAACAAAAUACGCGGGAUCUCCUGAACACACAUUUGGUUCGAAUGAACCUUUGAGAAAUUAGAAUAGUGAAACUCGUGCUGCGAUAUCUGGGGCAUCUUUUUCUCAUUUUUCGCACCUUACCAGAUUCAUUAUCCUAUGUAUUCACAUCAAAAUUUGCUUAAUAAAAUGACAUUUGUCCAUUAUGAUAAUCUCUUUCGAGCAGUUUUGUCGAAAUCGCGAUUUUUGAACAUGUAAUAUCUACAUAAAAGAUGUUAUGCAUAUUACUCUGGAAAAGUCUCUAAAUAGUACAAGGACCUGAAACAGGGCCACUAGUCAGAACUAACCAGGUUCAAAGUUGGAAAAUAUUGGAAAAAGAGAAAUCCAAAUUAGGACUAUUUCUUCAAAUUUUCUGGCAGAGAUAACGGCUAAGUAAGAAAACGUGAUAGCACAUCAAUGAUGGAACCCGGACGAAUCAUGAGCAAUGAUACCUUAAACGUUUGAAGAGGAAUUAUUCUCAUAGCACUUCUACAUUCAUAAUCAUUCAUUUAGUUAGGAGCACUUGAUUCAUUUCGAUCAUAGCAUUCUAAUUAUCUGACAUAAACACCACAUCUAGUUAGGGACAUUUGAUUCAUCUCGAUCAUAGUAUCCUAAUUACUUGAUACAGGAAACCAAUUCUACAAAUCAUGUCUUUGGAAGACAGUGUAGUGACAUUGGCGAAUCCUACAGAUCCUGCUUCCCUGAAGUUGCAGUGGAGCAGAUCGAAGACGACAAAUCUUGACUUCCUGAAGUUGCAGUGAAGUAGAUUUAAGUCACUAACCUAGCUCCCUAAAGUUGUAGUGGAGUAGGUUGAGAUUUUAGAUCCUACUUCCCUGAAGUUACAGUGGAGCAGAUCAAAAACGACGAAUCCUGACUUCCUGAAGUUGCAGUGAAGCAGAUUUAAGUCACUAACCUUGUUCCCUAAAGUUGUAGUGGAGUAGGUUAAAAUUUUAGAUCUCGUUUCCCUGAAGUUGCAGUGGAGUAAAUCAAAGACAACGAAUCUUGACUUCCUGAAGUUGCAGCAAAGCAGAUUUAAGUCACUAACCUAGCUCCCUAAAGUUGUAGUGGAGUAGGUUGAAAUUUUCGAUCUCGUUUCCCUGAAGUUGCAGUGGAGCAGAUCGAAGACGGCGAAUCUGAGCUUCUUGAAGUUGCAGUGAAGCAGAUUUAAGCCACUAACCUAGCUCCCUAGAGUUGUAGUAGAGUAGGUUGAAAUUUUAGAUCUCGUUUCCCUGAAGUUGCAGUGGAGCAGAUCGAAGACGGCGAAUCUGAGCUUCCUGAAGUUGCAGUGAAGUAGAUUUAAGCCACCAACCCAGCUCCCUAAAGUUGUAGUGGAGUAGGUUGAAAUUUUAGAUUUUGUUUCCCUGAAGUUGCAGUGAAACAGAUCGAAGACGGUGAAUCUUGACUUCUUGAAAUUGCAAUGAAGUAGAUUUAAGCCACCAUCCUAGCUCCCUAAAGUUGUAGCGGAGUAGGUUGAAGAUUGUAGAUCUUGUCUCCCUGAAGUUGCAGUGGAGCAUAUUGAAGCUACUUGAAGAAAAAAAGUACCAAGAAGUCGAGGCUCAGCAGGUCCUGGCAAAUUUGGCCCAUUUAUAGUCUUUACUUUAUUCUCGUUACACGACAAUAUGCAAAGAAGGGCAGCUGUAGUGGGCCAAAUUUGCCCGGUCCGAAUAAAAAUAAUAAAUGAUAUAAAAAUCUAGAUAUCAAUAGUCCAUUAUCUGUCCAAUUACAACCCAAAAUCAAACCAAAUUAACCCUAAUGUUUCAAGACACAAAUUACAAGUCCAUUUACAAAAUGACAUAGCCCAAUACCCCAAACGGCCCAGAAACUGAGCCCCAUUUUGGCAAACCCUAGGGCAAGGGUCUCCUUGUGCCGCAGCCCUCACUAGUGGCCAAACCACAUUGCGCCAGACAACGCCUCCAACAGCACCAGUGCACAGCCCUCGUACGCCACGCCCGUACCUCCGUACGAUGCAGGCAGACUCCGUACCUGCGAAAAAGGCACAUAGAACAGCAGCGAAUGGGGAAGAAGAAAAUAGCAUUUUCAUUUUUUGAUUUUUCUUUCUUUUCGACUAUAAAGGCCAUGUAAUAGCCUAGGUGAGUUUUUUACGCAACAUAAACGCACAAUAGGCCAUACAGACACAAUCAAUACAUUUUGAAAUACAAAAAAGCAACGAGCAUUCGAAGGUGAUUCCGAUUCAUAAUUUCUGAGAUUUUUUCCUUUUCUUCUUGGCUUAGUUUCAUUCUCCCUGGAAUUUCUUUUUAUUCUUUCGCAUUUUGGGUUGUAUAAAAGAGAGAG
Molecule: long non-coding RNA, 16159 nt
Filed under: Gossypium barbadense (sea-island cotton)
Lineage: Eukaryota; Viridiplantae; Streptophyta; Magnoliopsida; Malvales; Malvaceae
Description: long non-coding RNA (GBAR_LNC000483)
Source: RNAcentral